GCUCAAGGGAUAAUUUUCUGCAUUGAUGAUUUAACAGGUGCUCUACAAUCCACACAUCAAUUAGUAUUAUCCAGUAAAGACUUUCCUGAUAUUGAAACAGCUGCUGGAGCCGUAUCAAAUUUGAAAUGGACUCCUGAUGGAGGAGCUCUUGCUAUGACAUGGGAAAAAGAUGGAUUUGCUAUUUGGAGUGUGUUUGGUGCCUUACUGAUGUGUAGUCUUGGUUGAGAUUAUGGGUCUGCUGAUGUGAUGAAAAAUGUUUCCCUUUUAAUAUCUAUGGUUUGGUUGCCACUAUUUCUAAGAGAUGGAGAAAAGCAAGGAUCUCACAACUUUAUGUCUAAGAGAAUAAUGCUUCCAGUUCCUGUUUAUAUUUAUCCUUUAG
This is a non-coding RNA of Parasteatoda tepidariorum (common house spider), 379 nucleotides long. Lineage: Eukaryota; Metazoa; Arthropoda; Arachnida; Araneae; Theridiidae. The record is from RefSeq and is a predicted model, not a curated record.